AUGGCGAAGGUUUCAGGCCAACCGGAGUUAUGGAUCUCCAUAUAUAUACGAAACGGUGAAACAGAGCCAGAACAGAACGCAGAAACAGAGAGAGACAGAGAGACAGAUCCAAUCUCGGAGGGGCUCUCGCCCCUCCCAUGCCAUGGAGUCCAAGGACCAGAGGGGAAACCCUUCUCCCAUCUAGGGAGGAGGUCAAGGAAGAAGAAGACGAAGGGGCCCCCUCUCCCCUUCUCUUCCGGUGGCGCCGGAACACUGUUGUGGCCAUCAUCAUCAUCACCGCGAUCUACACCAACACCUCUGCCAUCUUCACCAACAUCUCCAUCACCUUCCCCCCUCUAUCUACAGCGGUCCACUCUCCCGCAACCCGCUGUACCCUCUACUCGAACAUGGUGCUUUAUGCUUCAUAUUAUUAUCCAAUGA
Molecule: ribosomal RNA, 420 nt
Filed under: Triticum aestivum (bread wheat)
Lineage: Eukaryota; Viridiplantae; Streptophyta; Magnoliopsida; Poales; Poaceae
Description: partial small subunit ribosomal RNA
Source: RNAcentral